AAGUUUCUAAGAUAUUCGUGUCGCUUUUAUUUUGAACCUACAUUGUGCAGAAGGGAGUUCAAAAUAUAAAGACGUAUACCAGGCCCAUGGUAAGUCCAUUAUGGCAGGGGAAGGUAGAAAUCUUUGUGAGAACACCCACCUAUCGAGAGGAUAGGUGUCAAAGUAGAAGCAACGGUAUCUUGGAUAAAAG
RNAcentral lists this non-coding RNA (190 nucleotides) under Clostridiales bacterium. RNAcentral describes it as "6S RNA". It matches the Rfam family "6S / SsrS RNA". Rfam says of the family: E. coli 6S RNA was the first non coding RNA to be sequenced, but its function was unknown until recently. It consists of 184 nucleotides that fold into an extended hairpin structure with a large single-stranded internal bulge. The record is from RNAcentral. Lineage: Bacteria; Bacillati; Bacillota; Clostridia; Eubacteriales.